UCUUCUAUGUCACACUCAGCUUGUUUGUUUCUUGGGUCUCUCUGUGUUUACAUCAUUUUUGCCUUCUCCAUUUUUCUUGUUUGGUUUUUUCUGUGCUCAAUCGCAUUCUUUCGAAAUCUUCAGUUUAUUCUGCUUCACUCCGUUCUGCCCGUUGCCGAUUUGUUGGUUUUUUCUGGUAUUUAGCAGGUUAUAAUCAUUCCACAUGCAUCGAAUUUUUACUUUAUUGACAAUGCCGUCUCCAUGGUGAAAGCAAAACAAUUGCAAAAUAUAGUUACUAGAAAGCAGCAGCCGAAGUUUCAUAUCUCAAAAUUUGCUCUACCGGAAAAAUUGUCAUACAGUGUAGUGCGGGAAGCAAAGUAGCUACAUCACACGUAUGUAAAACCUUGCAGUAUAUUCUUGGAUAUAGUGGUCUCGAAACAAAAGGUAUGCAGUAUAUUCUUGGAUGUAGUGGUCUCGAAAUAAAAGGUACGUUUUUAUGGCUAUGAAUUCAUAAAAAGACAUCCGACAGGGUCAUCAACUAUUUGAAUUCUCAUUUAUCUAGAUGCAAAUAUAAAGUUUGCAACGUUUAAACAAGAAAUUGGAAUAAGCAUGUUUGGAGAGAGAAAAAGGAACAAAUGAUCCAAGAGACCCCAUAUUCCUAUCUUGACAACUACUUUUCUGUUUAUUCAGUCAAUUACAGAUGACUACUCUGUUACAGGUAGACUGGUGGACCAUAAAGUCAAACAGUCGAAACUCGGCCUAGGAGUGUUUGAACUAGAGGAUCUUUUAUGAUCUACCAUCAGGAACUCAAUCUAAAAGUGUUUGAACUAGACUAUCUUUCUUGAUCUACCAUCUAAUUUAAAUUUUUUUUCCUGAGUUUUUCUAUUUUUAAAAUAGGCAAAUAUGUGAUGAUUUUUUGCUUCAAAUGCUAUCGAUCCAAAAGAUAAAAUAUAUUAUGCUGGUAAUACAAGAAAAUAUGGUCAUUAAUGACACAGUAAUUUGUAUUUUUCUUCUUUUUAAAACAGAAAGUAUCAUUUUCCCUAUUUUAUAAAUUUAGUAUAAAUGCGACGAUUAAAGUCUCAUUCUAUUUUGGUGUUUUCUCAUGAGAGAUGAGUUUGAGUUGAUUUUUCCUCAAAGAUUAAAGUGAGUUGCAUUUUUUAGGGAAAUACUUUUUCGACUGAACAUAUUUUCUUGAAAAAUAAUUGUUUCUUGAGCGAAUUCUCGAUUUAGCUGAAGAGUUUAAUGGUGAGUUUGAUCUUUCCUUCAAAGAUGAAUCUUGAAGAGGCAGUGAUGAUAAUUGCUUUCCUGAGGUAUAAAAUUAUUUGAAAACAGAGACAAUCAAACCCUUAUAUAUCUUGGCAUGGUAAAACCACAAUAGUAUGUGAUUUGAGGCUUUUCUAUCACAUGCAACAGUUUCUCGCCCUAUAAGAAAGAAAUUUGAAUCUCAAUUGUUUUCUUGUUAAGCUCUUGUUGGACUCUUAAAAAUAUAGACCUACAGAUUGCGAUUACUAUAUUUCAUCCAUUUUAGUAAAUGUUGAUUCCACCCUGGUGGAUAAGUCUUGACGGUUGUAUAUUAUCAUUAUUUGAGGUUCUUACCUCUUUGUUUCUUUUCCAUCUGCAAAUUACUUAGUUAGCCAUUGAGAAGCAUCUUAGUGAAGUUUGCAUUUUGCAUUAACUAGAUUGGUGUUUCUAGAUCUAUUAUCAAGUAGUCAUUGAGAAUAAGGUGAAACUAAAGUUUAUGUAUCUGGAAAGUAAGAAUUCACAACUAUUGCGGCUGGCGCAACGUUACCGUGAUACCAGUAAGUAACAUUGAUUACCGAAGUCUUAUCGAUAUAUAUAUAAAGCAUUAGUGAUACCAUUCACAUUCAUAUUAUGAAAGUGUAUAUUCGUGAUUUAUAAUUUCUGGUGCACUGAAGAAGGUGAAUCAAUUCAUAUAUGAAGAUACCAACUCAAUAUCUUCUAUCAUUUAAAGAAAAUUUUGUUUUCUGUUGAGUGCACUAAUAUCAUACGACAUUGAAAGUUGGUUUAGUAUUGCUUAGAUCCAGGUUGUUCAUAGGUCCCCGUUUUUUCCCCUGUGACUAAAAUAUUCAUUCUCCGAUCUUUUAUAGUGUUUGAGUUUAGAAAACCUUAGUUUAUAAAGGUUUUCUGUAAAAUUCUAUUUGUCCCAUUUAAAGCCAUUGAAAAGCAUAUAACAAGUGACAAAUGUCUGUUUAGUGAGAUCCUGGAAGAAUAAAAUGCUUCUCUAGCUUACAUAUAGGCAUAUCUUCUCUCUUGUGAUAGUUCUCUAUACCCCAUCUUUCAAGGAUGUGAGUAAUCAUUUUUCAAUUCCAGGUACUUAUCAAUUAGUUAAGGACUCUUCCUCAGACAGCAUCCUUCUCUUUCAAUUCAGCAACAGUGAUAAUUCAAGAGACUGUAGAUGUAUGUCAUCUGCGUACGAAGUUUUCCUUUAGAUUUUGUAAAGAUUCCAAUAUCAUAUUUGUAACUGUUGUAUCAAUAUCUCUCGACCAGGCAAGGUAAACGAUUCAGAGCUCCGAGAAAAAGCUAUUUAGAAGUUGGAAUAGUCAUUGAAAUUUAGAAUUGCUGCAAAUAACUCAUCUCCCACAAUGUAUAUUUCAUAAUAUUCUGAAUAUCCUGUAGAACUUUUUUCCAGAAUGCAUGAAAAAACUGUGAAGUGUUAACAUGUUGUGCACAUUGAA
RNA transcript from Nicotiana attenuata, 2675 nucleotides. RefSeq lists it as uncharacterized. The record is from RefSeq and is a predicted model, not a curated record. The transcript has 4 exons. Lineage: Eukaryota; Viridiplantae; Streptophyta; Magnoliopsida; Solanales; Solanaceae.